UACGUAAGUGGCGAGCGUUAUCCGGAAUUACUGGGCGUAAAGCGUGCGUAGGCGGUUUAGUGUGUGGGAAUUGAAAGCCCGGGGCUCAACUCCGGAUCCGGUUCCCAAACUGCUAGACUUGAGCGUAUCAGAGGACAGCGGAAUUCCCGGUGUAGCGGUAAUAUGCGUAGAUAUCGGGAGGAACACCAGUGGCGAAGGCGGCUGUCUGGGGUAUUGCUGACGCUGAGGCACGAAAGCCAGGGGGGCGAACGGG
Molecule: ribosomal RNA, 253 nt
Filed under: uncultured bacterium
Lineage: Bacteria
Description: partial 16S ribosomal RNA
Rfam family: Bacterial small subunit ribosomal RNA
Source: RNAcentral